CAGAGAUUCCCCUAGUAACGGCGAGCGAACCGGGGGAUGAGCCCAUCGCCUAAUCCGCCGCCAAGCUGGCGGUCCGGAGGUUUGGCGUAUAGGAGAGACGCUUCCGGGCACCGACUCCGGUGCAAGUCCCCCUGACUGGGGCUCUUACCCCGAGAGGGUGCAAGGCCCGUAGCGGCCGGAAGGCGGUCCCGGAUGUCCUCUCCUGGGAGUCGGGUUGCUUGAGAGUGCAGCCCUAAUCAGGUGGUAAACUCCAUCUAAGGCUAAAUACGACCUGGAGACCGAUAGCGAACAAGUACCGUGAGGGAAAGUUGAAAAGGACUUUGAAGAGAGAGUUCAAGAGUACGUGAAACCGUUCGGAGGUAAACGAGUGGGCCCUCGAAGUGCGAAGGCGGGGGGACUCAGCCGAACGUCGCGAGCCUGCCGGCAAGUCCGCGCUUCCCAACCAGGACGCGGCUGGCCGGCGCAAAGGUUCCGGCGGGCGGCGCAUUUCUUCCCGUCCUCCGACGCUGCGACCGGUCGGGUGCGCCACGAGCAGUCGGCCUUACUCGCGGGAGCCGGAAGGUAGCCGGGUCAGCGCCUCGGCGCUGUCCCCGGUGAUUGUCCGUCCCGCAAUCGAGUAGCCGUUCACCCGACCGCAGGACGUGGCCCUCAGGGGCCUCGCCGCGCCCUCCUCCCCUUCGGGGGGGGAUCGGAGCUCGCCUCGGAAGGGAGGCCGUCGCACAUCCCUUGUCACACUCCUGGGUGUGCCUGGGGCGGCGGUCCCCGCUGGCCGGGGCGAUUUCGAGCGGGCGCAGGCGGUCCGGCAGCGAGUNNNNNNNNNNACUCCUUGACCCCGUCCCUGAACACGGACCAAGGAGUUUAACAUGCACGCAAGUCACGGGGUCUUGAACAGGCCCAGGGGCGCAAUGAAAGUGAAGGGCGACAUUUCGUCGUCCGCGUUGGGAUCCGUCGGCCUCGGUCGGCGGCGCACCAACGGCUCGUCCAGGCCGCCACGUCGGCCGGGCGAAGCUAGAGCGUGCAUGUUGAGACCCGAAAGAUGGUGAACUAUGGCUGGGCAGGACGAAGCCAGAGGAAACUCUGGUGGAGGUCCGCAGCGGUUCUGACGUGCAAAUCGAUCGUCAGACCUGGCUAUAGGGGCGAAAGACUAAUCGAACCAUCUAGUAGCUGGUUCCCUCCGAAGUUUCCCUCAGGAUAGCUGGCGCUCGGGAGGAAGCAGUCUCAUCCGGUAAAGCGAAUGAUUAGAGGCCUUGGGGCCGAAAAGACCUCAACCUAUUCUCAAACUUUCAAUGGGUGAGAAGUCCGGUUUGCCCGAUUGAAGCCCGGACCUUCUCGGAUGCGAGUGCCCAGUGGGCCACUUUUGGUAAGCAGAAYKGGCNNGCUGUGGRAUGAACCAAACGACGGGUUAAGGGGCCCGAUGCAGGACGCUCAUGAGAACCCAUGAAAGGUGUUGGUUGCUAUAGACAGCAGGACGGUGGCCAUGGAAGUCGGAAUCCGCUAAGGAGUGUGUAACAACUCACCUGCCGAAGCAACUAGCCCUGAAAAUGGAUGGCGCUUCAGCGUCGACCCCAUACCCGUCCGCCGCGGCGGAGAUGCGAUCGCAUUAUGCCGCGGUGAGUAGGAGGGCGCGGGGGCGCGCGUGGAAGGUGCCGGGCGUAAGCCCGCCUGGAGCCGCCCCCGGUGCAGAUCUUGGUGGUAGUAGCAAAUACUCAAGUGAGAACCUUGAGGACUGAGGUGGAGAAGGGUUCCAUGUGAACAGCAGUUGAACAUGGGUCAGUCGGUCCUAAGGGAUGUCCGAAAGGAUUUCCGAAGGGGGGACGUUCUCACUUGUUCCCCCCCAUGACCGAAAGGGAAUCGGGUUAAUAUUCCCGAACCCGGACACGGAGAUCGGUCCCUUCGGGGACACGUGCGGUAACGCAAACGACCUCGGAGACGUCGACGGGGGGUCCCGGAAAGAGUUGUCUUUUCUUUGUAAGGGGUUCGGCUCCCUGGAAUCGGCUCGCCCGGAGAUAGGGGAUGCUGGAACCCGUAAAGCACCGCGCCUCUGUGUGGUGUCCGGGAGCGCUCCCGUCGGCCCUUGAAAAUCCGAGGCCGAGAGUUGGUUGGAUUUUCGUGCCGGACCCGUACCCCAUA
This 2130-nucleotide ribosomal RNA is filed under the name Hoplobunus mexicanus. RNAcentral's name for it is "eukaryotic LSU rRNA". It matches the Rfam family "Eukaryotic large subunit ribosomal RNA", at positions 69 to 1853 of the family's 3401-position model. The record is from RNAcentral. Lineage: Eukaryota; Metazoa; Arthropoda; Arachnida; Opiliones; Stygnopsidae.